GGCUUGAUGAUAAUAAUUUUAAGUCGAUCUGCCCAAUGAUUAAAAUUUAAUGGCUGCAGUAUAAUUGACUGUACAAAGGUAGCAUAAUCAAUUGUUUCUUAAUUAGAAUCUAGGAUGAAAGAAUUAAUGAGAUAUAUACUGUCUCAUAUAUAUAUAAUUAAAUUAAAAUUUUAGUAAAAAUGCUGAAAUAAAUUUAUGGGACGAUAAGACCCUAUAGAAUUUUAUAUUAAUAUUUAAAUUAAAUUUAUUUUUAGAUAUUAAUAUUUAAUUGGGAGGAUUAAUAAAUUUAAAUAACUUUAUUUUAAAUAAAAACUUUAAUUUAAGAAUUAUUAAUGAUCUUGUAUUAUAAAUUAAGAGAAAAAAUUACCUUAGGGAUAACAGCGUAAUAUCUUUUUAAAGAUCAAAUUGAUAAAGAUGAUUGCGACCUCGAUGUUGAAUUAAGAUAAAUUUUAAAUGGAGAAAUUUAAUAAUUAAGUCUGUUCGACUUUUAAAAUCUUACAUGAUUUGAGUUCAAAUCGACGUGAGU
RNAcentral lists this ribosomal RNA (526 nucleotides) under Bombus sibiricus. RNAcentral describes it as "partial 16S ribosomal RNA". The stretch from base 374 to 526 matches the Rfam family "Bacterial large subunit ribosomal RNA", at positions 2473 to 2626 of the family's 2925-position model. Lineage: Eukaryota; Metazoa; Arthropoda; Insecta; Hymenoptera; Apidae. The record is from RNAcentral.